GCCAGCGGCCAUAUCACCCUGCAACUCAACUAGCAGCCCACUGAAGCUCAGCAGGUGUGAGCCUGGUCAGUACCUGGAUGGGAGACCUCCUGGAAAAACUAAAGUUACUACUGGAA
This 116-nucleotide ribosomal RNA is filed under the name Lepisosteus oculatus (spotted gar). Lineage: Eukaryota; Metazoa; Chordata; Actinopteri; Semionotiformes; Lepisosteidae. The record is from RNAcentral.